This 253-nucleotide ribosomal RNA is filed under the name uncultured bacterium. Its description in RNAcentral is "partial 16S ribosomal RNA". It matches the Rfam family "Bacterial small subunit ribosomal RNA", at positions 524 to 776 of the family's 1533-position model. The record is from RNAcentral.
GACGGAGGGCGCAAGCGUUGUUCGGAAUUACUGGGCGUAAAGCGCGCGCAGGCGGGAAGGUAAGUCUGGAGUGAAAUUCCGGGGCUCAACUCCGGAGCUGCUUUGGAUACUGUCUUUCUAGGGACCGGUAGAGGCCGGUGGAAUUCCCGGUGUAGCGGUGGAAUGCGUAGAGAUCGGGAAGAACACCCGUGGCGAAGGCGGCCGGCUGGGCCGGAUCCGACGCUGAGGCGCGAAAGCUAGGGGAGCAAACAGG